UAUAAGACUGGGAUAACUUCGGGAAACCGGGGCUAAUGCCGGAUAAUAUUUAGAACCGCAUGGUUCUAAAGUGAAAGAUGGUUUUGCUAUCACUUAUAGAUGGACCCGCGCCGUAUUAGCUAGUUGGUGGGGUAAUGGCUUACCAAGGCAACGAUACGUAGCCGACCUGAGAGGGUGAUCGGCCACACUGGAACUGAGACACGGUCCAGACUCCUACGGGAGGCAGCAGUAGGGAAUCUUCCGCAAUGGGCGAAAGCCUGACGGAGCAACGCCGCGUGAGUGAUGAAGGUCUUCGGAUCGUAAAACUCUGUUAUUAGGGAAGAACAAAUGUGUAAGUAACUGUGCACGUCUUGACGGUACCUAAUCAGAAAGCCACGGCUAACUACGUGCCAGCAGCCGCGGUAAUACGUAGGUGGCAAGCGUUAUCCGGAAUUAUUGGGCGUAAAGCGCGCGUAGGCGGUUUCUUAAGUCUGAUGUGAAAGCCCACGGCUCAACCGUGGAGGGUCAUUGGAAACUGGGAAACUUGAGUGCAGAAGAGGAAAGUGGAAUUCCAUGUGUAGCGGUGAAAUGCGCAGAGAUAUGGAGGAACACCAGUGGCGAAGGCGACUUUCUGGUCUGUAACUGACGCUGAUGUGCGAAAGCGUGGGGAUCAAACAGGAUUAGAUACCCUGGUAGUCCACGCCGUAAACGAUGAGUGCUAAGUGUUAGGGGGUUUCCGCCCCUUAGUGCUGCAGCUAACGCAUUAAGCACUCCGCCUGGGGAGUACGACCGCAAGGUUGAAACUCAAG
This 788-nucleotide ribosomal RNA is filed under the name uncultured Staphylococcus sp. RNAcentral describes it as "bacterial SSU rRNA". It matches the Rfam family "Bacterial small subunit ribosomal RNA", at positions 131 to 905 of the family's 1533-position model. The record is from RNAcentral. Lineage: Bacteria; Bacillati; Bacillota; Bacilli; Caryophanales; Staphylococcaceae.